Molecule: long non-coding RNA, 835 nt
Organism: Eriocheir sinensis (Chinese mitten crab)
Lineage: Eukaryota; Metazoa; Arthropoda; Malacostraca; Decapoda; Varunidae
Exons: 4
Source: RefSeq, a predicted model, not a curated record
GGGCUCGGGGAAUGAGGAUAUUGGCCAAGGAGUGGGAGAGGUUUGCAGUAGUUCGUGGACUGGCUGAGGAGAGUGAGGUUGAUCUUCCCAUGGCUCCGUAACACAAAAAGACGGGCUGAGAGGUCGUUCACUUGUCUGUUCCAUGAGCCGGUUCAAACAGCAUGAGGAAAGCUGACUCAAGGAACAGAGCGAGAAGUUGUUGGCCAGGAAAAGGCUACGGAAAUAGUGCGUCGUCCACUAUCCCGUUGUCCCCGGCCUAGCCAUCCUCUACUCCUGCACCCUCUUCCCUGCCGGUGGGGUGCCCUGACGACCCAGUCAGCCGCUGCAGCAAAGCAAAACAUCAACUGAACAGAACUUGUAUGGAGAGACACCACCCAGCCAACAAUCAAUCUUCAGGAGGUGUCUGUUGGAAAGAGGCUAAUUGUAGCAACUAACAACUUAAGUGGACAGUAUAAUACUAACUGGAGAAUGUUUUAUGAAAAUAAAAUGCUUUAUGGGACAUUCAAAGUAGAUUCUUUUAAAGCUGAAUGCUUACUUUUUUCUGGAGACUCUUUGAAGCAUUAUGGACUGGGCCCUAAAAGCUGUUUUUGGGCCCUAAAAGCUGUAUUAUUACAGCAUUUCCUACUUUCUUGAGCCAUAAAUAACCUUUUAUGGCAUAUUUUGCUUCAGUCAAUUUCGCAGCAAUAAAUUAAUCUUAAACGAGGAGAUUCACGACAUGCUAUCUACUGAUUCAAUAUUCUUUUAUGCAAUAUUUGCAUAUUGUAUGCAGAACUUAUCAAUGAGAAAACUUGUUAAUUUUGGUUGAAGAAAGGACGACUAAAAGAUGCAAAAGAAA